GCCCGGGUGGUGGAAUCUGGUAGACACCAGGGACUUAAAAUCCCUUGGAGCAAUGCUCCGUGCCGGUUCAAGUCCGGCCCCGGGCA
This 86-nucleotide transfer RNA is filed under the name Desulfohalobium retbaense DSM 5692. It matches the Rfam family "tRNA". From Rfam's summary of the family: Transfer RNA (tRNA) molecules are approximately 80 nucleotides in length. Lineage: Bacteria; Pseudomonadati; Thermodesulfobacteriota; Desulfovibrionia; Desulfovibrionales; Desulfohalobiaceae. The record is from Rfam by way of RNAcentral.